This 272-nucleotide ribosomal RNA is filed under the name uncultured bacterium. RNAcentral's name for it is "partial 16S ribosomal RNA". It matches the Rfam family "Bacterial small subunit ribosomal RNA", at positions 87 to 354 of the family's 1533-position model. The record is from RNAcentral.
CCCGGCGACCGGCGCACGGGUGAGUAACACGUAUGAAACCUGCCCGUAGCAGGGGGAUAAGCGGAAGAAAUUCCGUCUAAUACCGCGUAACAACCCAUGGAGGCAUCUCUGUGGGUUUAAAGGAAGCGAUUCCGGCUACGGAUGGUCAUGCGUCGCAUUAGCCUGUUGGCGGGGUAACGGCCCACCAAGGCGACGAUGCGUAGGGGUUCUGAGAGGAAGGUCCCCCCACACUGGUACUGAGACACGGACCAGACUCCUACGGAAGGCAGCAG